This 837-nucleotide long non-coding RNA is filed under the name Olea europaea subsp. europaea. Lineage: Eukaryota; Viridiplantae; Streptophyta; Magnoliopsida; Lamiales; Oleaceae. The record is from RNAcentral.
CCAAAGGUAGGCUUGUGGAAGAAGAGAGAAGAAUCAUACUGACUCUGUACAAAACUAAAGGUAAUGAGUGUGCUAUGAAACUUCUCAAACCAAGUCCGGGGAGCCUGCUUGAAUCCAUACAAAGAACGUCGUAGUCUACUAACAUCAUGAGGAGAUGAAGUAGUCAUACUAGAAGGGAGCUUCAUAUAAAUCUCUUCGUGAAGAUCGUCGUGAAGAAAUGCAUUCUUCACAUCCAACUGAUGUAGGUUCCAUGACUGCAAGGCAGCAAUAGCUAGGAUCGUCCUGACUGUGGUCAUUUUGGCGACAGGAGCAAAUGUCUCAUCAUAGUCAACUCCAUAUUCCUGUCUGUUACCCAGAGCUACAAGAUGAGCUUUGUACUGAUCCAAGGAGCCGUCAAAACGAAGUUUCACAGAGAAAACUCAUUUGCUUCCAAUAGGUUUCACAGUAGGAGGACAAGGCACAAUGUCCUAAGUGUGAUUCUCCUCAAGGGCCUGAAGUUCUGCUUGCAUUGCCUUUUGCCAACACUCAUGUUCCAUGGCCUGUUUGUAACAAGUGGGAAUGGAAAUAGCAGAUAAAAUAGCUACAAGAGAAAUAGGAGAUGAGAAAUCGUACCGAUCGGGUGGGCAAGAAUGACGAGUAGACCGACGAAGACAGAUGGGAAUCGUAGGAGGAUCAGGUGUCGGUUCGAGAUCAGGAGGGGGCACAUCAACUGGAGGAUCAGACCCACGAUUACGUCGUUCAUACACAAGUCCUGGCUUAAAUCGUGCUAUAACAUCUGGAGAAUCAGAGAAGCUAGGCAGGAUAGAUGAAGAUGUAGAGGGUAGCUCAGAAUGAGAC